UUUUUUUGCAGUUCUUUAUGGCAUGUCAAAUAGUUUGAAUUAUGCCUAUGCAUUAAUUGUUGGUUGGUUGUUGAUCAACUGAAGUUUGCAUAAUUUUUGUAUUUUUCUUGAUUGUGAGGGUGGGGGUCUCUCAAAAAUAAUCUCUCUACUUCGUCUGAAAUAGUGCUAUGAAUUACGUACACUUUUUCCUCCCCAAACACUAGUUUGUGAGAAUAUACUAAUAUAUUAUUGUUGUUAUUCUUGACUGUGGCAUGUCAACCAAUCCCUUGAGCGAUUUAAUUUAGUUGUGGUGAAUGAAGUGAAUAAAUAAGAGGG
RNAcentral lists this long non-coding RNA (315 nucleotides) under Capsicum annuum. RNAcentral's name for it is "long non-coding RNA (CANN_LNC009604)". Lineage: Eukaryota; Viridiplantae; Streptophyta; Magnoliopsida; Solanales; Solanaceae. The record is from RNAcentral.